This 250-nucleotide ribosomal RNA is filed under the name uncultured bacterium. RNAcentral describes it as "partial 16S ribosomal RNA". It matches the Rfam family "Bacterial small subunit ribosomal RNA", at positions 524 to 773 of the family's 1533-position model. The record is from RNAcentral.
UACGGAGGAUCCAAGCGUUAUCCGGAUUUAUUGGGUUUAAAGGGUGCGUAGGCGGGUUAUUAAGUCAGCGGUGAAAGUUCGUGGCUCAACCACGAAAUUGCCGUUGAAACUGGUAGCCUUGAGUGUAGAUGAGGUGGGUGGAAUUCGUAGUGUAGCGGUGAAAUGCAUAGAUAUUACGAAGAACUCCAAUUGCGUAGGCAGCUCACUAGACUACAACUGACGCUGAGGCACGAAGGUGCGGGGAUCAAAC